UCCGAGUUGACCCCGGCAGUCUCCUGCGAGUCCCCGCCAUUACGCGCUGGUAACACAGGACAAGGGUUGCGCUCGUUGCGGGACUUAACCCAACAUCUCACGACACGAGCUGACGACAGCCAUGCAGCACCUGUCUCACGGUUCCCGAAGGCACCAAUCCAUCUCUGGAAACCGUCCUACCAUGUCAAACGCUGGUAAGGUUCUGCGCGUUGCUUCGAAUUAAACCACAUGCUCCGUCGCUUGUGCAGGCCCCCGUCAAUUUCUUUGAGUUUUAACCUUGCGGCCGUACUCCCCAGGCGGAUGACUUAACGCGUUAGCUGCGCCACCGGAACGCUAAGCGCCCCGACAGCUAGUCAUCAUCGUUUACGGCGUGGACUAC
This 379-nucleotide unclassified non-coding RNA is filed under the name uncultured Sphingomonadaceae bacterium. RNAcentral's name for it is "contains 16S-23S intergenic spacer region". The record is from RNAcentral. Lineage: Bacteria; Pseudomonadati; Pseudomonadota; Alphaproteobacteria; Sphingomonadales; Sphingomonadaceae.